This 825-nucleotide long non-coding RNA is filed under the name Toxoplasma gondii VEG. Lineage: Eukaryota; Apicomplexa; Conoidasida; Eucoccidiorida; Sarcocystidae. The record is from RNAcentral.
AGGCGGGCAGUUUGUCGCUGUUUGUCGCAGGUUUUCUGUGCAAUGCUCACGGUCCAGCAGGUUUUGUGCAUGCACACUUUUGUCAAAACGGCGAGGUGGUGAGGCGGAAUUUUUCCGUCUCUCUCGAAAAGGUGCAGUUUGCCGGGGAUCUCUGGCGGUCUAGGAAGUUGUCCAGGCGUUGCCGCUGUCCUGAAUGAUUGUGGGCAGUCAUUCCUGGCGUCGUCGUGUACAGAACAACGGAAUUGUCUGGAAGACACCGAGUAUCAGCGUCGUAGAUGCACAGAUGGACAUAAUUGACCGUUGUACAGUUUGUGAGAAGCUGCACUCUCUACCCAGGCCACCUAUCGUUCUGAGAAGGGAGAAAGCCCGAGAAUUGGUGGAGGAAACGCCUUUAUUGAAAGAUGAGACACAGGCACAGCUUAGUGACCUGUCUUACCGGAUUCUUCACACCCGCAAUACAAUUCGAAUGAAGGGCGUGUCUGUUUUUACUAGACAUCUUAACUUUUCACAAAUCCGAGAAGCAAACGAUUUUUCUCCCGUUCGUGGGCGCCUCUCCAAAGAGUGCUAGGCCUUCUUCCCCUUUCCGCCGGGCAACGAAGAAAGAACUAGAGAUAGACAAACAGCGGGAGAGGGAAAACGCUCCUCUCCCAUGCGCUGCUCUGCCCGCAGGGUGCGCCUGUUCCGGGACACAGACAGCCUGCGAUCGGAAGAGCCAGAUUCGUAUACAUCUGCGAAGACGUCGCGAAAGAUUUCCUUUGGAUGCCUGAAAUCAACGGCAGAGGAGAAGCACGCAUCCUUGUGUCUCUAUCUAUGGAGAAAUGUCGG